This 433-nucleotide ribosomal RNA is filed under the name uncultured bacterium. Its description in RNAcentral is "bacterial SSU rRNA". It matches the Rfam family "Bacterial small subunit ribosomal RNA", at positions 43 to 524 of the family's 1533-position model. The record is from RNAcentral.
CAGGCCUAACACAUGCAAGUCGAACGCCCCGCAAGGGGAGUGGCAGACGGGUGAGUAACACGUGGGAACGUACCCUUUGGUUCGGAACAACCCUGGGAAACUAGGGCUAAUACCGGAUACGCGCGAGAGCGGAAAGGUUUACCGCCGAAGGAUCGGCCCGCGUCUGAUUAGCUAGUUGGUGAGGUAACGGCUCACCAAGGCGACGAUCAGUAGCUGGUCUGAGAGGAUGAUCAGCCACAUUGGGACUGAGACACGGCCCAAACUCCUACGGGAGGCAGCAGUGGGGAAUAUUGGACAAUGGGCGCAAGCCUGAUCCAGCCAUGCCGCGUGAGUGAUGACGGCCCUAGGGUUGUAAAGCUCUUUUACCUGGGAAGAUAAUGACGGUACCGGGAGAAUAAGCCCCGGCUAACUUCGUGCCAGCAGCCGCGGUAAU